GCAAAGCAUUUGCAGUAUUUUUAGAAUUACUGGCCUCUCAGUUGGCCGUGCCAUUAGCAGCUAAAACUCAGAAAUUACACGGAGGACUUUUUUGAUUCAUUUUCACCUUGUAUUCAGGAAUCAUAACGAUGUUGUAUCGCUUUACAAGGACAUGGAUUCACUGAAAUUAGUUCAAUGGAAAUACUACAGCAAGAGCAUGGAUGUUAUGACUAGAACGUUGCCCGUGCUAUAUUUAGAAUUCGUGAAACAUAAGAAACCCUCCUCCCAGAAAUUGGAUGAAUCUAGUACUAGUGAAAUUAACAAAAACUCCUAAAGAAACCAAAAGAGUCCUCACAUAAUGUGCGAAGCUUACACUUCCAGGCCGCUCGGGGUAUUUGACAUUUGCCACUCUUCCUCCAGCCUUUGUCAGAUAGCAAAAAUUGUUCAACUAUUCAAUACGUUUUACAUAUGUACGA
Zeugodacus cucurbitae (melon fly) is the source of this 455-nucleotide long non-coding RNA. RefSeq lists it as uncharacterized. The transcript is spliced from 3 exons. Lineage: Eukaryota; Metazoa; Arthropoda; Insecta; Diptera; Tephritidae. The record is from RefSeq and is a predicted model, not a curated record.